This 3018-nucleotide long non-coding RNA is filed under the name Lactuca sativa (garden lettuce). Its description in RNAcentral is "long non-coding RNA (LSAT_LNC001925)". The record is from RNAcentral. Lineage: Eukaryota; Viridiplantae; Streptophyta; Magnoliopsida; Asterales; Asteraceae.
AUGAAAUUAAGUAACAUUCCUUAUCUACUCCAAAGUCCAAAGCAGCCACACCCAAGUCCCAAGGGAGAGGUUCUACUUCUAUCAGCAAUGGCGUCCUCCAACCCUCUCUUCUCAUCACCACUCCCUCUGUCCCCACUCAGAUCCCACGCGCCGCUGCCCCUAACCUUCUCCUUCACAACGAAAGCAACCCCCAAUGAUUCUUCCUCUACCGAUGGUCCCACCUCCGAAUCACCCGAGACUGAAAGUUUCGAGGACCGACUCUCGCAGGUACGUCUGCGUUACCGGAGUGGCACAGGGAAGAAAGCCGACGCACGGAAGAGCAAGAAGUCCGGGAAGAAAUCCGGUGGGAGUUCAGGAUCUGGGGCAAACAUGUACCUCCCACCGGUGCCUUUGAAGGAGCCGAUUUCAGGUGGAGUGAAAGUGGAUUUCGGGUUCAGCCCGUAUUCGGAGAGGAUGAAUGGGCGGGUGGCGGCCCUUGGGUUAGCGGCGUUGGUGUUAGUGGAGCUGGCGACGGGAGAGAGUGUGAUAAAAUACCAUACGCCGUCGAUCAUUUUUAUUCAGGUUUAUUUUGUGGCUGCUGUUACGGCGGUGUAUUGUAAGGUUGAAAAGGAAAAGGUCAGCAUUUGGCCACAGUCGUAGUGAGGUGCUCCGGUUGACUCGGAGUAUUUGGCAUUGAUGAUUGGUACAGCUGUUUCUGUAUUUAGUUUUUGUUCAACGAUUGAAAUAUAUAUAUAAUAAUUAUUUGUUAAAAUGGCCAUAACAAUCGAUUGGAACUCUGAAAAUGUUUAUACACAUAAAAUAGCAACUUACUUAUGUUAAUUUGGUUUAAUAUAGGCUUAUAGCAUCCAACUUUUAUUUUUACUUAGAAAUCUAUUAGAGCUUUGAAAAUAUGAUGCACUAAUAUGAGAAACAAGCAACACCUUCGAAACCAAGGUAGCAAUACCUAAAAGAGAAUCCCCUAUUGCUAUCCUGGUUCAUAUAUAAUGUAAUAUGUCAAAAGAUGACUAUUUUGUUUCUAAUUUUAGUAAAUGUCCAUGACUUUCGUGCAUUUGUUAGAAUAGUUUUUAAUUUUAUGANUGGCAACACCGGAACAAUACGGAAACUGGAAAUGGUUUUUUUUUUUUUUUCCCAUUCUGUUCUAUGGUUUUGGAUGAGACUAAAUUUUGGAUAAAUAGUCCCAUUGGACUUGGUCAACAACUAACUUUAUCCCAGUCCCGUCCGUGUCAAACGCUCAGUGAUAUAGGACCUUGUUCUGUUCUGUUCCGUCCUAUUAUACGUAUCAAAUGGGACCUUAACGACGACGAUGUAAGAAUUGUCGAAGUCUAGCAAAGUUGAAACCUAAAAGGAGUCACGGAACAGUUGAAAUCAUAAAAUUAUACUAUUCAUGAACACUUUUAUUUUAAUAUAUAUUAAUAAUAUGAAAAUUAUAUAAUGAAAUUAAGUAACAUUCCUUAUCUACUCCAAAGUCCAAAGCAGCCACACCCAAGUCCCAAGGGAGAGGUUCUACUUCUAUCAGCAAUGGCGUCCUCCAACCCUCUCUUCUCAUCACCACUCCCUCUGUCCCCACUCAGAUCCCACGCGCCGCUGCCCCUAACCUUCUCCUUCACAACGAAAGCAACCCCCAAUGAUUCUUCCUCUACCGAUGGUCCCACCUCCGAAUCACCCGAGACUGAAAGUUUCGAGGACCGACUCUCGCAGGUACGUCUGCGUUACCGGAGUGGCACAGGGAAGAAAGCCGACGCACGGAAGAGCAAGAAGUCCGGGAAGAAAUCCGGUGGGAGUUCAGGAUCUGGGGCAAACAUGUACCUCCCACCGGUGCCUUUGAAGGAGCCGAUUUCAGGUGGAGUGAAAGUGGAUUUCGGGUUCAGCCCGUAUUCGGAGAGGAUGAAUGGGCGGGUGGCGGCCCUUGGGUUAGCGGCGUUGGUGUUAGUGGAGCUGGCGACGGGAGAGAGUGUGAUAAAAUACCAUACGCCGUCGAUCAUUUUUAUUCAGGUUUAUUUUGUGGCUGCUGUUACGGCGGUGUAUUGUAAGGUUGAAAAGGAAAAGGUCAGCAUUUGGCCACAGUCGUAGUGAGGUGCUCCGGUUGACUCGGAGUAUUUGGCAUUGAUGAUUGGUACAGCUGUUUCUGUAUUUAGUUUUUGUUCAACGAUUGAAAUAUAUAUAUAAUAAUUAUUUGUUAAAAUGGCCAUAACAAUCGAUUGGAACUCUGAAAAUGUUUAUACACAUAAAAUAGCAACUUACUUAUGUUAAUUUGGUUUAAUAUAGGCUUAUAGCAUCCAACUUUUAUUUUUACUUAGAAAUCUAUUAGAGCUUUGAAAAUAUGAUGCACUAAUAUGAGAAACAAGCAACACCUUCGAAACCAAGGUAGCAAUACCUAAAAGAGAAUCCCCUAUUGCUAUCCUGGUUCAUAUAUAAUGUAAUAUGUCAAAAGAUGACUAUUUUGUUUCUAAUUUUAGUAAAUGUCCAUGACUUUCGUGCAUUUGUUAGAAUAGUUUUUAAUUUUAUGACAUAAAACGUCACAGUUAAACAUUCUUGGACAAAAAUUUAUGUUCCUCAAGAAAUACUUUUGAGAGAUAUUACGGUUUCAAAAGUUCAUGCCAUAUAAAGCUCGUUAAGGUCCUGAGUCAGACUUUUGUUCGCAAAUUUUUAUUUAUUUAUUUAUUUAUAUUACACUGUAUCACCACACAAUUAGAAUUUAUGAUCGUUAAUUAGUCGUGAGACAUAUUUGAGUCUGUUUAAGGAUUUAGAGGUAAUUCACCUAUUAUGAUUUACAUGAUCUUUGCAAUGUGAUUAUUGAUGUCAUUCGAAUUCUUGGUCGUUGGCUAUGAUCUAUUGAUCUAGAUUCAGUUGAGUAUAUCGUUUCCAAGCCGAUAUUGAUUGUUGGUGUUCUGCCUCCCAAACUCAGACAUUACUUUAUGAGUUUAAUAUCAAGGUUGAACCAUGAACGCUGCAAAAGAAGGCCAACCAGUAACAUUAUGCAAUUUAUGCGUUAAUCCAUUAUUUGUAGUUUAAGUAAGA